GGCCAACCCCACAAUCCCGGAGCUAGGGUUUGAUCAAUGGACCACCCAGCUCAGCCGGCGGACACCGAGAUGGGGGAGGCGGGGGCGGCGCCGCCCGCGCCGCCGCCGGGGAUGGAGAACAUCUCCGCCACGCUCAGCCACGGCGGCCGGUUCAUCCAGUACAACAUCUUCGGCAACAUUUUCGAGGUGACGGCCAAGUACAAGCCCCCGAUCA
Molecule: unclassified non-coding RNA, 214 nt
Filed under: Hevea brasiliensis (rubber tree)
Lineage: Eukaryota; Viridiplantae; Streptophyta; Magnoliopsida; Malpighiales; Euphorbiaceae
Source: RNAcentral